This 229-nucleotide ribosomal RNA is filed under the name uncultured bacterium. RNAcentral describes it as "partial 16S ribosomal RNA". It matches the Rfam family "Bacterial small subunit ribosomal RNA", at positions 568 to 796 of the family's 1533-position model. The record is from RNAcentral.
CGUGUAGGCGGUUUUUUAAGUCUGAUGUGAAAGCCCCGGGCUUAACCUGGGAAGUGCAUUGGAGACUGGAAGACUUGAGUACGGGAGAGGAAAGCGGAAUUUCGAGUGUAGGGGUGAAAUCCGUAGAUAUUCGAAGGAACACCAGUGGCGAAGGCGGCUUUCUGGACCGAUACUGACGCUGAGACGCGAGAGCGUGGGGAGCAAACAGGAUUAGAUACCCUGGUAGUCC